CGAACGCUGGCGGCGUGCUUUAUACAUGCAAGUCGAACGAUGAAGUUCCUUCGGGAAUGGAUUAGUGGCGAACGGGUGAGGAACACGUGAGAAACCUGCCUUUCAUUCUGGGAUAACACCGGGAAACCGGUGCUAAUACCGGAUGCUCCAUCUUGGCGGCAUCGCCGAGCUGGGAAAAAUUUUGAUGAAAGAUGGUCUCGCGGCCUAUCAGCUAGUUGGUGAGGUAAAGGCUCACCAAGGCGACGACGGGGUAGCCGGCCUGAGAGGGCGACCGGCCACACCGGGACUGAGACACGGCCCAGACUCCUACGGGAGACAGCAGUAGGGAAUAUUGGGCAAUGGGCGAAAGCCUGACCCAGCGACGCCGCAUGAGGGAUGAAGGUCUUCGGAUUGUAAACCGUCUUUCAGCAGGGACGAAGCGAAGUGACAGUACCUGCAGAAGAAGCACCGGCUAACCUAUGUGCCAGCAG
Molecule: ribosomal RNA, 470 nt
Filed under: uncultured bacterium
Lineage: Bacteria
Description: bacterial SSU rRNA
Rfam family: Bacterial small subunit ribosomal RNA
Source: RNAcentral